Molecule: long non-coding RNA, 968 nt
Organism: Onychostruthus taczanowskii (white-rumped snowfinch)
Lineage: Eukaryota; Metazoa; Chordata; Aves; Passeriformes; Passeridae
Exons: 3
Source: RefSeq, a predicted model, not a curated record
AACUCUGAAGCCUUCAAUCCAAGGACUUUCUGCUUCUUUUUUCUUUUUCUUUUCUGUUAGAAUCAGUGGGGAAUAAAUUGCCAGACAGGCUAACACGUUCUGCUGGCUUGCCUGGCACUGGAGGACACAGUGACACACGGUGGCAGCCAGGGUGUGUGUGCCAGCAGUGCCCUGGUGGCAGCAGUGUCUGUGCCCAGCCCUGGCAUGCCCUGUGUCCUGUGCCCAGCUCAGGAGCUCAGCAGAAGGAGGUACUGUCCUGCCCGUGGGACUGCAGCACCCUGACCGCAGAGACAUCAAAGCACAGCAUCCUCCGGGAAAAAGGAGAGAUAAAGGGAGAAGAAAAUGCUCCAGAAGCAGCAACAAGCUGGAGUUGUGUUCAGCCCCUUUUGGAACAAUAACCUCCCUGGAGGUGUGCUGGGCGCUCCAGCGGCGCGCAGCGGGCGAGCCGGGGUCUGUGCGCAGCGUAAUCUGAUCAUGCUCUGUGUGGAUAAGAAACACAGCUUCGUGCUUUUCACCUUCCAGGAAAGAGAUUUAUUAUGAAAAUCAGGUCCCUGCCUCAGAGCACGCACAAAACAGUUGGCUUCAUAACCUUGGGGAAAAAAGAUAAAUAAAGAAAUCCCCCGAGACACGUGUGAGAACCGACCCCACUGAUGGUUUAAUGAGGAUGGUGUGUGCCACUCACCUGGAUCAAUCAUUUAUGCAGAUUCCUGCCAAGCCCCCCCCAGGCCCUGUCUCAACCCAGCGAAGAAGAGCGUGCCACGUUUCAGCUGAGUGAUGUCAAACUCUGCAGGGAGCUGAGCACAGCCCUGGCCAGGCAUCCUGUCCCAGGCUCCAAGGGCUGCCACCUUCGUCAGGCCAGAGGGACAUUCCAGGAGCUGAGAUCUGACUGUGGAUCAGCAUCCCUCCUGCUGCCCCAGGGACACCUGGCUUGGUGUGAGCAGAGUGCCUGAAACGGACCCUUUCAUUGC